Molecule: long non-coding RNA, 887 nt
Organism: Cucumis melo (muskmelon)
Lineage: Eukaryota; Viridiplantae; Streptophyta; Magnoliopsida; Cucurbitales; Cucurbitaceae
Exons: 3
Source: RefSeq, a predicted model, not a curated record
GUGGAAUUUCACUACGAUUGGGUUAUUUUUUGAAGGCUUGGUUAGAGUUAUUGGAGGAAAUGAGAACCUUGUUUUCCUCCAACUAAAGUUGAAUUGGAAUUCAACCUUCACUUUGGGAUUUUUCUUGGGAAGCUUGGUUAUUGUUGUUAGGACCAUUUUGGUUAAGCUAAUCUCCAGGUACGAGAUUCUCUUACUAGACCUUUGAACUAAAGUUAAAAACUUGCAUGUAAUUUUUCAUUAUGCAUUGACGUAGCUAAAAUGCAUAAUGUGUUGACGUUGAUGAUGACUGAUAGUUAUGACUGAGGGAUAAUGAUGAUGAUGAUUGAUGAUGUAAAUGUUAAUGCAUGAAAUAUUAAUCCCAUGACUAAGAAUGCUAUGAUUAAUAUUCAUGUCAUGCUUAUGAUGUUAUGUUAUGCUACAUAUUAUGGAUAGGGUGUUCUGUUAACCUUAUCUAUUAGAGUCGUACCCACAUGGGUGUCCCUCGGGAUCACCACCUUUUUAUGACUGUGUAGUUUGACGGGAUCACCAGUCCAGUAUGAGAUGAUAUGUAUAUGAGUGACUCGACGGGGUCACCCAUAGCUUGAUUAUCUUAGUGUUUCUUUCGAGUUAACUAAAGAUCAGUUUGUCCUAGAUGUUCCUUUGUGUUCACCGAAGAUCAGUUUUGUCCUAGGUGAUCCUUUGGGUUCACCGAAGACCAGAGAUAUUUCUACGGGAUCAUAGAUUGCGCCUGUUCGAGAAUGCGCCAGUUUAGAGGUAGAGGAAAGCUGGUGAAUGACAAGAAGUGAUCUUGGCGUGCCAUAGGGAAAUGUUUUGCUUCCGCUGUUAUGUUAUCAGUUUUAACUUCGGUAUUUUUGUAUUUUCAUUAUUACUCUUUUAAAACUAGAUAG